UGUGCCGGGUGGUCGGGGCGGGUGGCAGCGGCUCUGCCGUGGCCGGGGCUGCUGCGGGCCGUUCCGCGUCGGUGCGA
Molecule: transfer RNA, 77 nt
Filed under: Micromonospora sediminimaris
Lineage: Bacteria; Bacillati; Actinomycetota; Actinomycetes; Micromonosporales; Micromonosporaceae
Description: tRNA-Gly
Source: RNAcentral